This 468-nucleotide ribosomal RNA is filed under the name uncultured bacterium. RNAcentral describes it as "partial 16S ribosomal RNA". It matches the Rfam family "Bacterial small subunit ribosomal RNA", at positions 28 to 507 of the family's 1533-position model. The record is from RNAcentral.
GACGAACGCUGGCGGCGUGCUUAACACAUGCAAGUCGAACGGAAAGGCCCUGCUUUUGUGGGGUGCUCGAGUGGCGAACGGGUGAGUAACACGUGAGUAACCUGCCCUUGACUUUGGGAUAACUUCAGGAAACUGGGGCUAAUACCGGAUAGGAGCUCCUGCUGCAUGGUGGGGGUUGGAAAGUUUCGGCGGUUGGGGAUGGACUCGCGGCUUAUCAGCUUGUUGGUGGGGUAGUGGCUUACCAAGGCUUUGACGGGUAGCCGGCCUGAGAGGGUGACCGGCCACAUGGGGCCUAAGGUACGGCCCAGACUCCUACGGGAGGCAGCAGGGGGGAAUAUUGCACAAUGGGGGGAAGCCUGAUGCAGCAACGCCGGGUGCGGGAUGACGGCCUUCGGGUUGUAAACCGGUUUGGCCUGUGACGAAGCGUGAGUGACGGUAAUGGGUAAAGAAGCACCGGCUAACUACGUG